Molecule: ribosomal RNA, 178 nt
Filed under: uncultured bacterium
Lineage: Bacteria
Description: partial 16S ribosomal RNA
Rfam family: Bacterial small subunit ribosomal RNA
Source: RNAcentral
CCUACGGGAGGCAGCAGUGGGGAAUAUUGCACAAUGGGCGCAAGCCUGAUGCAGCGACGCCGCGUGAGGGAUGACGGCCUUCGGGUUGUAAACCUCUUUCAGUUGGGAAGAAGCCUUUCGGGGUGACGGUACCUUCAGAAGAAGCGCCGGCUAACUACGUGCCAGCAGCCGCGGUAAU